AUACUUACCUGUCAGGGAACAAACCACGAUUCCAAAGGUGGUUUUUCCAAGGCUAAGCUCAUCCACUGCACUCCAGGUGUGCUGACCCUUGCAAUUUCCCCAAAUGCUGGAAACUUGACUGCAUGAUUUGUAGUAGUAGAGCCUGUGUUCAUGUUUUCCCCUG
Small nuclear RNA from Pongo abelii (Sumatran orangutan), 163 nucleotides. Its record names the gene U1. It matches the Rfam family "U1 spliceosomal RNA". From Rfam's summary of the family: U1 is a small nuclear RNA (snRNA) component of the spliceosome (involved in pre-mRNA splicing). Its 5' end forms complementary base pairs with the 5' splice junction, thus defining the 5' donor site of an intron. Lineage: Eukaryota; Metazoa; Chordata; Mammalia; Primates; Hominidae. The record is from Ensembl.